Molecule: ribosomal RNA, 558 nt
Filed under: Lacticaseibacillus paracasei subsp. paracasei
Lineage: Bacteria; Bacillati; Bacillota; Bacilli; Lactobacillales; Lactobacillaceae
Description: bacterial SSU rRNA
Rfam family: Bacterial small subunit ribosomal RNA
Source: RNAcentral
UUGGAGAGUUUGAUCCUGGCUCAGGAUGAACGCUGGCGGCGUGCCUAAUACAUGCAAGUCGAACGAGUUCUCGUUGAUGAUCGGUGCUUGCACCGAGAUUCAACAUGGAACGAGUGGCGGACGGGUGAGUAACACGUGGGUAACCUGCCCUUAAGUGGGGGAUAACAUUUGGAAACAGAUGCUAAUACCGCAUAGAUCCAAGAACCGCAUGGUUCUUGGCUGAAAGAUGGCGUAAGCUAUCGCUUUUGGAUGGACCCGCGGCGUAUUAGCUAGUUGGUGAGGUAACGGCUCACCAAGGCGAUGAUACGUAGCCGAACUGAGAGGUUGAUCGGCCACAUUGGGACUGAGACACGGCCCAAACUCCUACGGGAGGCAGCAGUAGGGAAUCUUCCACAAUGGACGCAAGUCUGAUGGAGCAACGCCGCGUGAGUGAAGAAGGCUUUCGGGUCGUAAAACUCUGUUGUUGGAGAAGAAUGGUCGGCAGAAUAACUGUUGUCGGCGUGACGGUAUCCAACCAGAAAGCCACGGCUAACUACGUGCCAGCAGCCGCGGUAAUAA